RNA transcript from Drosophila eugracilis, 5651 nucleotides. It is a transcript of the gene named low-density lipoprotein receptor, with no coding region annotated. NCBI's taxonomy places the organism in Eukaryota, Metazoa, Arthropoda, Insecta, Diptera, Drosophilidae. The record is from RefSeq and is a predicted model, not a curated record. The transcript is spliced from 9 exons.
CACAGCUCAGUUUGCAUCGGACUCUGCAAAGAAACGGACGUGUGUGCAAUCCGGUCAGGAUAACUGAGAUUUCAGGACUCAGAAGCGGCAAAAACUCAAACAUUUUCGCAAAAGAAAAAUUUUCGUAAAUCCAGUGACUAAAUUCUUCGAGUUUAAAAGUAAUUUUUAAAUAAAACUAAAAUUUAAUAAUAUAAAAAUAUAUUAAAUUAAUUAUUAAAGAAUAAUAAAAAAAAAUAAUAAUAAUUAAACAGCUGUUUGUGGGCCAGCAAAAAUCAAUGGCAAGGCCAAAUAGGCCGACAGACUGAAAACAGUUUGUUGGCGUCUCUUUGGCGGUAACAUCAAAAGGCAUCAAAGCAACAGAACCAACAGCAGCUUUUCCCCCCAAAAAACGGAAGCUUUUCCGCAGUGCCGAUGUGUGCGUCUGUGUGCGCGCUUUUCCUUUUCCGUUUUUUGUGUUUUUUUCACGCUUCUGCGCGCCACUUUUUAUUACAUUUUCGUUUAAGCCACUUGCCCUCUCUUUUAUUUUGUUUUCGGGGCAGAAAAUACAUCUCUUAUGAACGCUCUUUACGGGCUGGUAUAAUUCUGCUCUGAUUUAGCCAAGAUUUGGUCUUUGUUUUGCAUUGGAUUGCAUGAACUUGACACCGAAUGCAAGCCAAAGGACCACAGACUUGCCACCUAAGAAGCACUUUGAAUUACGGCCCCAAAUGAAUCAUAUUAAAUCAUCACACACUUUUCCUGCUAGUUAAUCCGUUAUAAUUUUUAUUUAUAUUUAUUAAUUUUCAUUUAAAAUUCACUGUUGUGUGUGUGGGAGUUUGUGAGCGUCAUAAUUCCUGCCGUCGCCAUGUCAAAGUACAAAAUUGCAAUUAAAUGUAAACACUCAACACGGCUUAACGUAACUCGAAUGAAAAGUUGAAAAAAUGUUUCAAGCGGGGAUUAUGUGAAGUUCUGAUAAAGCGACCACAUUAAUAAUUAUUCAACAAAAAUCAGACAAGCAGACAUGGAAAAAGUGGCUUAAUUAAAGCGUUAAAUGCCCGGGAAAUGUGAAAACUGAACAAGCAAUAAGAACAAAACAUGAAAUAUAAUUAAAUAUUUUACGAAACGAAAGCAGCAGCAUAUUUAAAUGCAAAAACUAAAGAUAGGAUGUGCAAAUAUUUAGUCGCAAAGUUCAGAACCAUUAUUUUAUAUAAUUCAAGUAUUUAAUUAAAGAAAAUAAUAAUAAAAUAGAGAAAUAACAAAAAUUGUUAAAUUUGCGCAAAAAAAAUACAGAACAAUUGCGGCUUAAUGAAUAUUGACAAACUGAAUAAUAGACAAAUUAACCAGGAAAACAGAGUGAAAUAUUUAUAAAUAUAUAAACUAAUAAAAAAUAAUAAAAUUCACAUUAAACAAAUUUACGAUUUUCCGACAUACAUUUUGUAAAUAUUUCAUUAUGCGAAAAACUGUUGCCUACUUUGAAGCUACUGCCAGUUUUGAUGUUUCCGGUUGCCAUUUUUGCUGGCCGACCGACCACUUGACUGCCAUUUAAAAUAAUUAUGAUUACACGCUCGCUAACAGGGAGCCCAGUGCAAACAUUCGCGUGGAACAACAAACCCGAAUAAACGGCAGUUUAAUUUAAUAAUUCAGCGGAGCACUUAGGCAAGAACAUUAUCACCGUAUAGCCUACAGUAGAGCCUCCGAAAGAACCAACAUGGGACCAAUACGCAGCAUCCUGGGCUGCUUCUUUCUGCUGCUCAUCAUCGGAUUAGCGCCACAACAGGCUUCCAGUGCCAAUGAAUGGGAAUCGACUUGCAGCGAGGACCAAUUCCGCUGUGGCAACGGAAAAUGCAUUCCGGGGCGAUGGGUCUGCGAUCGGGAGAAUGACUGUGCCGAUGGAAGCGACGAAUCGGAGUCCAAGUGCCGAACCCCAACAUGUUCGCCCGAGCAGUUUGCCUGCAAGUCGGGCGGGGGCGAAUGCAUUCCCUUGUCCUGGAUGUGCGAUCAGAGCAAGGAUUGUCGCGAUGGAAGCGAUGAGGCGAUGUGCAAUAGGACGUGUCGCUCGGAUGAGUUUGCCUGCGGCAACGGACGUUGCAUUCAAAAUCGCUUUAAGUGCGACGAGGACGAUGAUUGCGGCAAUAUGAUGGAUGAAAUGAACUGCAAUGAAAAGCCAAAAUGUGAUCCCAAUUCCUUUACUUGCCCCGGUGGCAACUGCAUUCCCUUGGAAUGGGUCUGCGACGGGGACAACGACUGCCCGCAUGGAGAGGAUGAGAAGCAAAACUGCACCAUCACCCCAACGCUUAACUUCUGCAGCAGGGACGAGUUUCAGUGUUCGGAUCAUAUCACUUGCCUGCUUAAGCAAUGGGUUUGCGAUGGCGAGGAAGACUGUCCGGAUGGAGAGGAUGAGUCGCCAACACGUUGCGGGAAGCCAGCGUGUCGUCCGGAUCAGUUCCAGUGCGAUGAUCGCAGCUGCAUCGCCGGUCACUUGACCUGUAACGGGGAAAAGAACUGUGCAGAUGGCAGCGACGAGAGGAAGUGUAACAUCAGUGCGCCAGUGAAGAUUUGCAAUGCGACGAACGAAUUCGAUUGCGGCGGUGGUCAGUGUAUCCCGAUUGGCAAGGUCUGUGACCGUAGGAAAGACUGUCCGAAUGGCGAGGAUGAGCCGGCAGGAAAGUGUAACAUUAACGAGUGUGCCACCAAGAAUGGCGGCUGCAUGCACAAAUGUGUGAAUCAGGAGGUGGGCUACCGAUGCGAAUGCCACGAUGGCUACAAAUUGGCCGCUGAUAACCACACUUGUGUGGACAUCGAUGAGUGUGAGACUCCUGGUAUUUGUUCUCAGGUGUGCGUCAACGAGAUUGGAGCCUUCAAGUGCGAGUGCGAGGCGGGCUACAUGAGAGUACUGAAAAAUCACACCAGAUGCAAGGCCAGUGAAGGUCAUGCCUCCCUGCUCUUGGCCAGGCGCCAUGAUAUCCGGAAAAUAGCACUCGAUCGUCCGGAAAUGACAUCCAUUGUUAAUAGUACAAAAUCAGCCACUGCAUUGGACUUUGUCUUCCGCACCGGUAUGAUCUUCUGGAGCGAUGUUACCACGCAGAGUAUCUACAAGGCUCCCAUUGAUGAGGGUAAUGAGAGAACUGUGGUGCUGACUAAAUCCUCCGUGACCUCCGAUGGCCUGGCUGUAGACUGGAUCUACAACCAUGUCUACUAUACGGACACAGUCAAGUGCACUAUUGAACUGACCAACUUCGAGGGCAGCAUGGGCAAGGUCCUAGUGGAGGAUUCACUGGACAUUCCCCGUUCUAUUGCCUUAGACCCCAUCGACGGUUGGAUGUACUGGUCCGACUGGGGGGCAUCCCCUCGCAUUGAAAGGGCGGGAAUGGAUGGCUCCCAACGCACUGCCAUUAUCACCUAUGAUGUCAAGUGGCCAAAUGGCAUCACUUUGGAUUUGGUUCAUAAACGCCUCUACUGGGUGGACGGCAAACUAAACUCCAUUUCGUCGUCCAAUUACGAUGGAUCACAAAGGCGGAAUGUUCUUUCCUCCCAUGAAUACCUGAAACAUCCCUUCUCCAUCACCACCUUUGAGGAUAGCGUCUACUGGACCGACUGGGAUAAGCAGGCCGUCUUCAAGGCCAACAAGUUCAACGGGGCGGAUGUGGAACCCGUGACAGCAAUGCAUAUGUUGGAACACCCCAUGGUUGUGCACGUUUACCAUCCGUAUCGCCAACCAGACGGUGUCAACCACUGUCAGUCGGUGAAUGGCCACUGCUCGCAUCUGUGCCUGCCAGCCCCCAGGAUUAACGAACGGAGUCCACGCAUAUCCUGCGCCUGUCCAACGGGCCUGAAACUGAUGCCCGAUGGCCUCAUGUGUGUCGAAGAUCUUGAAGAAAAGACCCGCAGCAACAGCACAGACGCAUCCAACCCGUCAGAUAAAUCUGCAGAAAAUCAAGAAAAGGAUUACGGCCUUAUAGCCUUGAUAGUGAUAGUCAGUUUAACAAGCACAGCUCUCAUAGCUUGCGUAAUCAUUGUCACAUACCGACGUUGCACGCGGGCCGUGAACUCAAUGAACUUUGAGAAUCCCGUCUACCACAAGACCACGGAGGAUCACUUCAGUCUGGAGAAGAACGGAACGCCGCACAUGUACUCCACUGCCAUGGAGGAGGAGGUAAGCGGGUCGGCCCCACCGAUGAGCACUAACCCUAACGACUUUAGCUAUGUCAGAUUCUAGGGUGUGUGUUCUGGCUAGGGUGUUAGCUAAGUUAGUGUUGUACAUAGAUGGUUAAGAGCUCGUAUCAUAGUUGUAACUAGGGCUAACAUGAUUCAAAGAUAAGACUAGUUCUGUAAGUCAUGAAAUUGUUGUGAAAGUAGAAAGUUUUCAAGUUUUGAAUCCUCUCUUUUGUCCAAAAAUAUAUUUAAUUUAACAAAUGCCGCGAGCGAACGAAACCACGGUACCAAUUUAGAUAUUAAAAACGUGCAUAAGCCCUCUUGUUGAAAGCGGCACCAACUGUGUUUAAGGGAACGUCAGAGAUCCAAGGAUCAAAUGCAUAUCCAGCAAAUACUGGCCGGUAGACCGAGAACAUCUACAAAAAAGCAUCUCCUACUAGUAAUUCCUUUUUGGACCAAGGCACCAAAAAACAAACUCAACUAAGAAAGUGAAAGUUCAUUGGAAGAGAAAUGCUGGGAAAAUGAAACUUUCAUUUAGCCGUAAGAGAAAAGAAGAAGAAUGCCAAAAAGAAAAUAGAAAAGACAAGAACGACAGCAUCAGCAUGGGGGAAAAUGAAAAUACUCAACAAAUUCAAUUUGUUGCCUAGUUUAAAAUUUAAUUUAAAUGUAACAACACUAAACACACACCAACACAUACAUAUAUACACUGGCAUAUCGUAGAACACACACACUCACUCACACGCCCAUAAACUAAUAACAACGCAAACUUUUCUAGGCGCAACGUUUUGACAUCAACUAGCGUGGCACCCAGACACACACAAACACAUACAUCAAUGCAUAUCCUAUCCACACCAAUACACAAACAAGACACACACACGAACACACACAAGCCCAGAAGAACUCAGAGAUGGAACGAGCCGGGAUUCAGAGCCAAAAGUCCAACUUUCGUUUCACGUCCAUGAAAUCAAUUGUAAAAAGUUAAGACAUUUCGUUGAAGUUUUGGUACCAAAAGAAACAUUUUGUGAAAUCGAAAAAUAGAGAUAAUAGCUUAACUGAAACUGUUUAUAGACCUAACAAUUAUUGUGACUAGCUAUAAUAUAUAUUUUUUGUUAACUUUAAAUUAAUAAACAAAAAAAGAAGUUAUUAUCUUGAAAGUAAAGUUUUUAGCACCAAGUUGGAUUACUUUUUAGCAAAAUAUUUGAAAAAAAAGCUCUCUGUAAAUACAUAGAAAAUAAAACUAAAAAAAAAAAAAAACUAAAAACGUUUAGAGAAAAUUUACAAAAGAAAUUAAGAAAAAGAAUUUUAGAAUGUUUAACCUUUUUGCUUCGCUCUGUUUUUUCCUUCUUGGGUAUUCAAAACAAUUUGCUGUGAUCAGUUUAAAAGCAUUAAACCUAUCAUUAAAUCAUCUUAUUUGUAGUAAGUUUAAUAUUCUUCUCAUUUAUUUAGUGUGUAAACAAGCUUUCAAAUAUUUUAAUUUAUUUACAAAUUUUUACACAAUAAAACAACUUUACGUGUAUUGGCAA